This 433-nucleotide ribosomal RNA is filed under the name uncultured bacterium. RNAcentral's name for it is "partial 16S ribosomal RNA". It matches the Rfam family "Bacterial small subunit ribosomal RNA", at positions 29 to 507 of the family's 1533-position model. The record is from RNAcentral.
AACGAACGCUGGCGGCAUGCCUAACACAUGCAAGUCGAACGAGACCUUCGGGUCUAGUGGCGCACGGGUGCGUAACGCGUGGGAACCUGCCCUUAGGUUCGGAAUAACUCCCCGCAAGGGGUGCUAAUACCGGUUAAUGUCUUCGGACCAAAGAGUUAUCGCCUUUGGAUGGGCCCGCGUUGGAUUAGCUAGUUGGUAGGGUAAAAGCCUACCAAGGCGACGAUCCAUGGCUGGUCUGAGAGGAUGAUCAGCCACACUGGGACUGAGACACGGCCCAGACUCCUACGGGAGGCAGCAGUGGGGAAUAUUGGACAAUGGGCGAAAGCCUGAUCCAGCAAUGCCGCGUGAGUGAUGAAGGCCUUAGGGUUGUAAAGCUCUUUUACCCGGGAUGAUAAUGACAGUACCGGGAGAAUAAGCUCCGGCUAACUCCGUG